GACGAACGCUGGCGGCGUGCCUAAUACAUGCAAGUAGAACGCUGAAGAGAGGAGCUUGCUCUUCUUGGAUGAGUUGCGCACGGGUGAGUAACGCGUAGGUAACCUGCCUUGUAGCGGGGUAUAACUAUUGGAAACGAUAGCUAAUACCGCAUAACAAUGGAUGACCCAUGUCAUUUAUUUGAAUGGGGCAAAUGCUCCACUACAAGAUGGACCUGCGUUGUAUUAGCUAGUAGGUGAGGUAUCGGCUCACCUAGGCGAGGAAACAUAGCCGACCUGAGAGGGUGGUCGGCCGCACUGGGAGGGAGACACGGCCCAGAGUCCUUCGGGAGGCAGCAGUAGGGAUACGGCGGCAAGGGGGGCAACACUGACCGAGAAAGGCCGAGGGAGGGAAGAAGGGUUUCGGAUCGGAGAGGUCUGUUGUAAGUCUAGAACGAGUGUGAGAGUGGAAAGUUCACACUGUGACGGUAGCUGAUCAGAAAGGGACGGCUAACUACGUG
RNAcentral lists this ribosomal RNA (497 nucleotides) under uncultured bacterium. RNAcentral's name for it is "partial 16S ribosomal RNA". It matches the Rfam family "Bacterial small subunit ribosomal RNA", at positions 28 to 507 of the family's 1533-position model. The record is from RNAcentral.